AGCAAUGUCUGGGAAACUGCCUGAUGGAGGGGGAUAACUGCUGGAAACGGUAGCUAAUACCGCAUAACGUCGCAAGACCAAAGAGGGGGACCUUCGGGCCUCUUGCCAUCGGAUGUGCCCAGAUGGGAUUAGCUAGUAGGUGGGGUAACGGCUCACCUAGGCGACGAUCCCUAGCUGGUCUGAGAGGAUGACCAGCCACACUGGAACUGAGACACGGUCCAG
This 222-nucleotide ribosomal RNA is filed under the name uncultured bacterium. RNAcentral describes it as "partial 16S ribosomal RNA". It matches the Rfam family "Bacterial small subunit ribosomal RNA", at positions 109 to 334 of the family's 1533-position model. The record is from RNAcentral.